This is a long non-coding RNA of Acanthopagrus latus (yellowfin seabream), 1309 nucleotides long. RefSeq lists it as uncharacterized. The record is from RefSeq and is a predicted model, not a curated record. The transcript is spliced from 3 exons. NCBI's taxonomy places the organism in Eukaryota, Metazoa, Chordata, Actinopteri, Spariformes, Sparidae.
ACCAAGAAGUGAGCGAGGGAUCCACUUUAUCCUUCCAAUAGACACCAAGUAUUCAGGUUCUGACUCAACCCUCUGCAGACCAAGAAGUGAGCGAGGGAUGCACUUCAUCCUUCCAAUAGGUAAUUACACAUUAAUUUAUUCUAUUUGCCAUUAAGUAUGUGUCUUACUUGGCUCCAGUGCCUACACGAAAUGUCCUUGAAAUGCCUUUUAAAACAAUUAGAUUGUAUGAAAUAUUCACAAUAUCAUCAAUGUCAGUAUUGCAUUGCUGGGGAAGUAGAUCGAUUUACAUCAGUGUGGGGUUUAGAGCUUUUUUUGACAACAACAGAAGAAGUUAGAACCACUAUUAUUUUCACUUACAGUGUAAUUAAUUGCAUCAUAAUUUACAGUUAGAGUUCUGUGUAAUUUCAAACAAAUAAUGAAUCUCUGUCAUUUCAUUUAAGUUCAGCCUCCUCCCACCUGACAGCUAUUGCAAAGCAAGUAAGACAGCUGCCUUCUUCUCCUUCAUUCAAAAAUGUUAUGUUCUUUGACUGGGGAUAUUUACUUUUUGAGAAAAUAUUGUAGACUCUUAACUAAGACUAUAGUUCUUUACACUUGAUUCUUGAUAUGGACAGUCAAAAGCAAGCCAUCAUCUGCAAAAUGUAAAGUGGCAUCAUGCUUGGUGUGAGGAACGUUAUGAUGAGGCCAAGAAAAAGAUAUUUGAGAGAGAGAGGCAGAUGACUUUGAGUCUGUUCACCAGAAUGAAUAAUUCUGUGAGUUUGCAAAUCAAAGCAAAAAACAAACAUUUGGUCAUAUGCAAAUUCAUUAUUUUCAAGGUAUUUAUUUUACAAGAACUUCCAUGGGCCUAGCAGAAUUUCUCUCAUUCACUUGUUUUUUCCAUUUCAUUCACCAUGUUUGAAAGACAAAGUUGCAAAAGAUUUUUUCUCUCAAAAUAUUUGUUACACUGUCCUUUAUAAUCAUACACCAUCAACAUCAAAUCGCACAGAGACGUGUUGUGGUUUAGGGAUUAUUGUCCUAAUAGUAUGUCAUAGGUAGGUAGGUAUGUGAGGGAAAAUAUUUUCAAAGGAUUAUGUAAAUCAUUUAAUCACUUCACUUUAAUAUAACUGGGGAGAAAUUAUCUGUUCACUGAUUUGUAUUUACAGUAUUAAUGAUGGUUUUAAAGGUUGAACAUCACUUGGUCGAUGAUGGUGGAUUUCGUGAUGGAAACUCUGCAAGCUUUGACCAGAUCUCUACUGAUGAUUCUUCAGAUUGCACACCUUAUGAAGAUACUGAUGAUAUGUUCCAGACUCAAGUGUCAAUUCCUCAGACAAAA